Megalobrama amblycephala (Wuchang bream) is the source of this 1317-nucleotide long non-coding RNA. RefSeq lists it as uncharacterized. The record is from RefSeq and is a predicted model, not a curated record. The transcript has 6 exons. NCBI's taxonomy places the organism in Eukaryota, Metazoa, Chordata, Actinopteri, Cypriniformes, Xenocyprididae.
UCCCAAGUCUCCCGGAAGUUCCGGGAGUCUCCCGCAUAUUGAUAGCGGCUCCCUGAUGCCCGCAAAUUAGUUAAAAUCUCCCGGAAUCUAGAGCGAGCGAGCAAGAGCGCGCAUAGAGACUGUGUUUCAAACCAGCGCGCGCACGGCAGAGAGGGAUAGGAUAGGGAGCGAGAGAGAGACCUUGCGUGUGUGUGCGAAGCGCAUGUAUGACAGAGAGCAUCCCGAAUGUCCUUUUUCGGCAAAUCAACCAAUCAAUUAUCAGUGAGGUUGGGAUGUCUGCCGAUUUCACGUCAAGCACAGGAGCCCUACCACAAAUGCUGGAGAGUGCCGUCAAAUCCAGCAGUGAAGAUGAACAUCUAAGGGGACUCCCACAAUGGCUUGCUGCUCGGAUAUGCUGUGUGUAUGGAAAGACUGAGGAGUUGAAAGCUGAUUCUACCCUGGAAAGGAGUAAUUUUCUCUUUUAGAGGGGGUGGAAGACCAAGCAGAUACUAUAUUAAAAAGUGCUACACAAUGAUGGUUGUUCUUGCAUAUCUUCUGCCACCGUUGCCUGGAAGUCGAUGCAAUGUUAAAUCUGAAAUUUCAUUUCUUUCAAUUUAAUUUUGUACCGCGUGGAGCCACUAUUGCAUCCCUCUGCAGCAGUUUUGAGACCGCAUCAAAGACCAGACCACAGCCGAUCUACAUUGGAAGUUUGAAGAGCACAGCAUGACAGUACAUCAUUACGAGGAUUGACAGAGUAACCAUUCCUGUGGAUGAGGGCCUGAUGUGCUGUGGACAAUAUAUUCUAGGUGUGAAACUUGUCCUGUCCACCACAGAUUAGUUUGGUCUUUUCUUUCUAAGACUGGAGCAUCUAAUAUUGAAACACCACAUUCUCUUCUUUUUAAAACUGACAUCGUUUCGCUAGAAAACAACCUCUUCUUCAGCUGUGAUUGCGUACAGCCCGUUUAAACACUUCAAAGACUUUUAAAACUGCAUUGAUUUGGACUUAAAAACGAUGGUAACCAAUGAACUCCAUUGUUAGAAGAAAAAUCCAGAAAUGUUUUCCUCAAAAAACAAAAUUUCUCUCCCACUGAGGAAAGAAAGACAUGGAUAUCUUGGAUGGCAUUGGGUGAGUAAAUUAUUAGGAAAUUUUCUUUUUGGGGUGAACUAAUCCUUUAAGCAUACAAUGAACACUCACAGUAGCUUUUAGUCAAUAUAAAGCGUUAUGUUAUCUUAUGUUAUGUUCUUACACUGCAGUAAGUAAUGCAUUCAUAAAGUGAUUCUCUAUUAAAGUUGUUUAAAUGUGAAAAACUUUGUUUAUUAAAGUUUAUUGCAAACGAA